This 1795-nucleotide long non-coding RNA is filed under the name Nicotiana benthamiana. RNAcentral's name for it is "long non-coding RNA (NBEN_LNC033938)". The record is from RNAcentral. Lineage: Eukaryota; Viridiplantae; Streptophyta; Magnoliopsida; Solanales; Solanaceae.
UUGAAAGGACGUUUCCUUUGAGACUUGAAACAUACAUAUACUUUUCUCGCUCCCUCAUAAUGCAUCCGAACAAAAAUGAAGAGCGACAUGGCAUCCGGUCACUUAUUUAUAUUCAUUUCUCUUGCAGUAAAAGAGAGAGGAAGAGACAAUAAUGAAAACUAUGUUUUUCUUUGCUUUCAACAAUUUGUCUACAUGACUAGAAUGGAAGUUGAUUUUAACUCAUGCAACCUUUAUGUCAUAGGUUUUUGGUUCUAUUUUCCUUAUUAGUUGCCAUCUAGUCUGCCUCUAUCUUGAGAAAAAGAGUAUGAUAACAAAAGGGGAAGAGCUUUAUCAUGCUAGCUAUAGUUUUCCUGAUGCGGAGACUUAACUUCUUGUGAUAACAGGUGGUUAAUACAUAACAAAUUAGACAAACUGGAAGUGCUACUACUCUGCUGCAGCCACAUUUUUAAUUCUGAAGAAUCUAGUGUUGGUAUGUCAUGGGCCAAAAAUAAUGAAGUAGUUGAUAAUUUCUUUGAUACUGGACAACAUAUGGAAGAACUGAACAACCUAAUUCAAUUGUUUGACAAGUAUAUAUUUCCUUUCAUAUUCUUUCUACUUAAUAUUCCGUGGUAUGUGGAAGUAAACGCUAAUUGCUACUCGGAGAGGGCAUAUUUUCGGUGCUUCCCAACAAUAAGUGAGGUUGGAGAUGGAACAAUAAGUGAGGUUGACAAGAGGGGUUGCUCUGAUGGUAAGCAACCCCCACUUCUAACCAAGAGAGUUUGAAUCUCCCCAAGAGUAAAGUGGGAAGUUCUGGGAGGGAAGGAUGCCGGGGGUCUGUUUGGAAACAGCCUCUCUACCCUAGGGUAGAGGUAAGGUCUGCGUACACACUACCCUCCCCAGACCCCACUAGGUAGGAUUAUACUGGGUGAUUGUUGUUGUUGUUGAAAUGGAGCAUUUAAAAAGGUAAAUUAAAUACGUAAGGUGAUAAGAAAAUUAACGGAGAUUUUAAAACUCUUUUGAUAACUAAGAGAGAUAUUGCUCUCUAUGACGUUCCAAUUCCAUAGUCCAUCCACACCACAUAAUCAAAACUUGUAGUAUGGCAUAUGUUUUUGUUGUUUCUGGCAUAGGAACUAUAAGGAAGAAGUUUUACUCUGUGGGAUAUGAUAUGUCAAGCUAAAGUGUAAACCACAAAAAUAAAUGUCAAUUAUAAGCUUAGCUCCAUUGAGUUUUAGAAAUAUAUCUAUCAUCUCACUCUUAGCUUUUGGUAAGUAAUAAUGUUAAUUUACUUUACCAUUAAAAAUCUUAUACUUCCUCGUCUGAUAAAACGUGAAUUUGUUCAAUUUAUGAUGGUUGACUUGAUUAAUACUCCUAUUAGUUGAUAGCCGAAGGGAUCGAUGAUCAAGUUUUCGCAGUUCUGCUGAUCAAGCUUUCAUUAUCUCAUUACUAUGGACGAAAAAAAGAUUCUACUCUUUCCACUUUAUUUUUCAGGAUAAGUGAUAAAUAAAAUUAUCAUUUUAUUUUCUACAGCAAAAAAUUAUUAUCAUAUCUGCUAAGUUCUCCCUUUCUUUCCCACCUAAAUAUUGUAAAAACCAUUCCAAAAGUGCUGUAUCAAGGUAAAAAUGGUGUUUUCCAUUCACUAAAAAGUUGUUGCUUGCUGCUGGACCAAGAUUUUCCUUCCAAUCCUGUUAUGUAGGAAAUUAUUGUACAAAUAUCUUAUCAUCAAAAUAUGUGGUUUAAAACUAGCUGUGAAUUCAAAUUAUUAAUAUGUUAAUCUGUUUUCAACUUUUCAGUUUGCAUGUUCUUUUGACAAGCUUUU